This 556-nucleotide small RNA is filed under the name Pongo abelii (Sumatran orangutan). Its description in RNAcentral is "processed transcript". Lineage: Eukaryota; Metazoa; Chordata; Mammalia; Primates; Hominidae. The record is from RNAcentral.
CUCCCUGGAUUCCAGGUCGAGGCCUGAUGAGUGAGGCCAGAAGCCGGGAAGCACCGCAGAAGUAGAAGCCGGGGAGCCACAGCCUGUGUCCUCGGAAAAGGCAGGCACUGGGAGGGAGGCCAUUGAGCCCGGCACUAGCCGGUGUGGGUGAGCCCCGGUUGGGGGGGGAUAGGUGGGGUUGGGGCGGGGAGGCUGGCCUGGCUUGACUCCUUCCUUCUCUUUGCAGCUCCCUGCUGUGGUCUGGAGGAAGCAGCUGCCUGGGUUGGUGGGAUUGGAAUGAAGGGCUUCUGGUUUGCAGGGAUCAAGGGUCCAGGGUCCCUGAGGUUGGGUCAGGACCCUCAAGGGGGCAACUGGGGCUUGGGAGGGAGACAGGGCGAGAUAUAGAGUGGCCCCUGUCCGGGAAGACGUGUCCGGGCCCCAGGCAGGGGCAGCCAGCCUGAGGAGGGUGGCUGGUUAGGCGGCGCUCACACCUAGAUGGGCUGCGAAGGUCAUAGACCUGUCCUACAGUAAUGGAGACACCUGUAGCGCAUGUCACCCUCCACUGCAGCAGCCGGAA